RNAcentral lists this ribosomal RNA (425 nucleotides) under uncultured bacterium. RNAcentral describes it as "partial 16S ribosomal RNA". It matches the Rfam family "Bacterial small subunit ribosomal RNA", at positions 354 to 796 of the family's 1533-position model. The record is from RNAcentral.
GUGGGGAAUAUUGGACAAUGGGCGAAAGCCUGACGCAGCCAUGCCGCGUGAAUGAUGAAGGUCUUAGGAUUGUAAAAUUCUUUCACCGGGGACGAUAAUGACGGUACCCGGAGAAGAAGCUCCGGCUAACUUCGUGCCAGCAGCCGCGGUAAUACGAAGGGGGCUAGCGUUGCUCGGAAUUACUGGGCGUAAAGGGCGCGUAGGCGGACAGCUUAGUCAGAGGUGAAAGCCCAGGGCUCAACCUUGGAAUUGCCUUUGAUACUGGCUGUCUUGAGUUUGGGAGAGGUGAGUGGAACUCCGAGUGUAGAGGUGAAAUUCGUAGAUAUUCGGAAGAACACCAGUGGCGAAGGCGACUCACUGGCCCAAUACUGACGCUGAGGCGCGAAAGCGUGGGGAGCAAACAGGAUUAGAAACCCUUGUAGUCC